UAUCCAUUUCUCAUUUCCUCCUAUAUGGAGUAAAACAGCUGGUUUAUUUUGUCACUGGAAAGAACAGAAAUUCGUGUCAAUAUUAUGGACUUGCUUGUAUUUCUGUCUGCAUCUGAAAGUUGCUCUCAGCUGAGGUGAACAUGACACCAGCGAGGGUUUAGCUCCAGGAAUUUGGGGGCACAUCUCAAACCAAGGAGGAAUAUUGAAGCUGGACCUGAUUUAAGCGUAAAAAACAAAAGGAGGGAGUUCCGAAGAAAGCUUCCUCUCAUGGUGUCAAGCAGUACUGGAGAAUUUGGCACUAGCAAAUCCAGAUUUGUUCCAACAGCUUUUUAGCUGUAGGUUGACUGCAGCCCCUUGAACCAGCCUGAAUUUUACAUUUGCCUCUCUGGAGCUGAGGUUAUUUCUAAAUUCACUGGAUUGCAUCUGUCAAAUCAGGAAGUUAGCAAUGCUCUGAACUAAGUUAGCAUAUGGCAGCAAUGGGCUAGGUCUCCUGCCCAAUUUUUCUGUCAAUUUUGACUAUUGGAAAACCCAGUAGCAAUGAGAAGUCUAGAAUGAUCCCAGAGCUAGAAACCUUCAUGUUCUCUUAUCUGAAGGUAACAUUUCAGGAUCACGUGAAAGUUUAACUAC
This 627-nucleotide long non-coding RNA is filed under the name Struthio camelus australis. RNAcentral's name for it is "lncRNA (ENSSCUG00000007979.1)". Lineage: Eukaryota; Metazoa; Chordata; Aves; Struthioniformes; Struthionidae. The record is from RNAcentral.